GCCUCCAUAGUUAAAUGGAUAUAACACGCCCCUCCUAAGGGCGAAUUGGUGGUUCGAUUCCACCUGGGGGUACCC
RNAcentral lists this transfer RNA (75 nucleotides) under Betaproteobacteria bacterium HGW-Betaproteobacteria-10. Its description in RNAcentral is "tRNA-Arg". It matches the Rfam family "tRNA". Rfam says of the family: Transfer RNA (tRNA) molecules are approximately 80 nucleotides in length. Their secondary structure includes four short double-helical elements and three loops (D, anti-codon, and T loops). The record is from RNAcentral. Lineage: Bacteria; Pseudomonadati; Pseudomonadota; Betaproteobacteria.